UCGCUAAAAGGAACCUAAUGGAUCGUACACCGUGUAAGGUAGAGAUUGAAGAAACAAAGGAGAUGAGUAAGGAUAAUUAAAUGGUUUAUUAUUAUUUAUUUAUGGCAAGGAUUAAUUAAUAUGUUAAUUAAUCAAACGAAUAAAGUUCGUUAAAAGACCUCGGGUUAGUUUUGGGCCUCAAGGCCCAAUGGGCUUCGAACGUCAAGCCCAUUAACUUA
This 218-nucleotide long non-coding RNA is filed under the name Malus domestica (apple). Its description in RNAcentral is "long non-coding RNA (MDOM_LNC019501)". The record is from RNAcentral. Lineage: Eukaryota; Viridiplantae; Streptophyta; Magnoliopsida; Rosales; Rosaceae.